This 1511-nucleotide long non-coding RNA is filed under the name Mus musculus (house mouse). RNAcentral describes it as "predicted gene, 38246". Lineage: Eukaryota; Metazoa; Chordata; Mammalia; Rodentia; Muridae. The record is from RNAcentral.
GUUCAAUAAAACUUUGGUAAACCAGAUUAAUUAUCCAUCUACCCCAGUCUGUGUUUACCCCCCUUUCUUGUUUAUUCUUUCAAAUGAUUCAUUUGAAGUCUGUUCCAAUGAUUCUUGUUGGAUUUCUCAAUGUUGGGAUGUAACAAAGAACACCCAUGCCAUGGUGGCACGGAUCCCACGUUGGAUCCCUGUUCCGGUGGAGACACCCUCCACCUUAUCUAUGUUUCGACAAAAGAGAGAUUUUGGCAUUACUGCUGCCGUGAUCAUAGCAAUUUCAGCCAGUGCAGCUGCUGCUACAGCUGCAGGGUACGCUAUGGUUAGUGCGGUUCAAUCAGGCACAAAAUUAAAUCAGCUUUCAGCAGAUCUGGCUGAUGCCAUCACUGUCCAAACUUCUGCUAGUACCAAUUUAAAGGGAGGGCUGAUGAUUUUGAAUCAGCACCUUGACCUGGCGGAGGAACAGAUAGGUGUUCUAUACCAGAUGGCCCAGUUGGGUUGUGAAAGAAAACUGGAAGCUCUGUGCAUUACCAGUGUCCAAUAUGAAAAUUUUACUUAUGCAGCUAAUCUGUCUAGACAGCUUUCUUUAUAUCUUGCAGGAAACUGGUCUGAAAGAUUCGAUGAGACCCUUGAGGCCCUGAGAGUGGCCGUUCUAAAGAUCAACUCGACACGAGUGGACCUGUCAUUGACAGAGGGCCUCUCCUCCUGGAUUUCAUCUGCCUUUUCUUAUUUUAAGGAAUGGGUGGGGGUAGGUUUAUUUGGCGUUGCCACCUGCUGUGGACUUGUGGUCAUGCUCUGGUUGGUUUGCAAGCUCAGAACCCAACAAACACGUGACAAGGUUGUGAUAACUCAAGCACUUGCUGCCAUCGAGCAAGGGGCCUCCCCUGAAAUCUGGCUAUCUAUGCUAAAAAAUUAAUUGACAUUGGUGGCUGGCCUCUUUUAUAGAGUUCGCCCUAGGUCAUUUAGUAGUUAAUGUCACAUAGCACUGCGGUAUCCAGGGACGGGCAACUUUCCUCAUGCACAGAUCAACCUAAGACACGGGGCCCGGUGGCGAUAGGGUUACCCUAUGACAGGAAAGGCUGUGACAUUGGAGGAACGACCUAAGACAGGAGCCACAGCGGAUGGGCAUAAUUACACAGGCCUAGACCAGCCUUAAAUUUUAAUAAAAUCAAAAGGGGGAGAUGUGGAAAGCCGGUACGUGCUGCGAGCAAUCGCAUGUGUGCCGCCAGUAAUCUCUGAGGAGAGCCGUGUGUGCCGCGAGCAAUCGCCAUUAUAAGAUGGCGCGGGCCUCCGCUGUGCCUAACUAGUAAACAAGUCCUGUACGCAGGUGCAAGAGUGAAUUCACUCCUAGUCACUCCCAUUCUCGGGGUGUAAUAGUGGGGUGAUGGGCAAGCAACGAAUCGGGAGCUGUCACGCCAUAUCAGGUGCUGAAACGUCACGCUGCGGGUUAUAAAAGCAGCGCCAUUUUCCCGGUUUGGGAUCUUCCUGAGAAGCAAGCAAUAAAGCUUUUGCCGCGG